UAUGAUUGUAUGUGUGCCCUGACAUGUUC
Molecule: non-coding RNA, 29 nt
Filed under: Rattus norvegicus (Norway rat)
Lineage: Eukaryota; Metazoa; Chordata; Mammalia; Rodentia; Muridae
Source: RNAcentral